This 583-nucleotide small RNA is filed under the name Pan troglodytes (chimpanzee). RNAcentral's name for it is "processed transcript". The record is from RNAcentral. Lineage: Eukaryota; Metazoa; Chordata; Mammalia; Primates; Hominidae.
AGCGAUGCUUCUGCUUCUCCUGCUGGCGGACGUUCCCUGAUGACUUGCUGUGUUCCAUGUACUGUUCUGAGUGCCUGUGUGUACUGAUGCAUUCAGCCCUCCUCGCAAAAGCACUUUGAGGUAGAAACUGUCGUUAUUCUCAUUUGCAGUUUCAUUCAUUGGCUCCCAUGUACUAUCGAGGCUCAGCUGCAGCUGUUAUCGUGUAUGAUAUUACCAAGCAGGAUUCAUUUUAUACCUUGAAGAAAUGGGUCAAGGAGCUGAAAGAACAUGGUCCAGAAAACAUUGUAAUGGCCAUCGCUGGAAACAAGUGCGACCUCUCAGAUAUUAGGGAGGUUCCCCUGAAGGAUGCUAAGGAAUACGCUGAAUCCAUAGGUGCCAUCGUGGUUGAGACAAGUGCAAAAAAUGCUAUUAAUAUCGAAGAGCUCUUUCAAGGAAUCAGCCGCCAGAUCCCACCCUUGGACCCCCAUGAAAAUGGAAACAAUGGAACAAUCAAAGUUGAGAAGCCAACCAUGCAAGCCAGCCGCCGGUGCUGUUGACCCAAGGGCCGUGGUCCACGGUACUUGAAGAAGCCAGAGCCCACAUC